Molecule: ribosomal RNA, 410 nt
Filed under: uncultured bacterium
Lineage: Bacteria
Description: partial 16S ribosomal RNA
Rfam family: Bacterial small subunit ribosomal RNA
Source: RNAcentral
GGGGAAUAUUGGACAAUGGGGGCAACCCUGAUCCAGCAAUGCCGCGUGUGUGAAGAAGGUUUUCGGAUUGUAAAGCACUUUCGACGGGGACGAUGAUGACGGUACCCGUAGAAGAAGCCCCGGCUAACUUCGUGCCAGCAGCCGCGGUAAUACGAAGGGGGCUAGCGUUGCUCGGAAUGACUGGGCGUAAAGGGCGUGUAGGCGGUUUGUACAGUCAGAUGUGAAAUCCCCGGGCUUAACCUGGGAGCUGCAUUUGAUACGUGCAGACUAGAGUGUGAGAGAGGGUUGUGGAAUUCCCAGUGUAGAGGUGAAAUUCGUAGAUAUUGGGAAGAACACCGGUGGCGAAGGCGGCAACCUGGCUCAUAACUGACGCUGAGGCGCGAAAGCGUGGGGGAGCAAACAGGAUUAGA